CAGUAGCCGCGGUAAUACGGAGGGUGCAAGCGUUAAUCGGAAUUACUGGGCGUAAAGCGCACGCAGGCGGUCUGACAAGUCAGAUGUGAAAUCCCCGGGCUUAACCUGGGAACUGCAUUUGAAACUGUCAGGCUGGAGUCUUGUAGAGGGGGGUAGAAUUCCAGGUGUAGCGGUGAAAUGCGUAGAGAUCUGGAGGAAUACCGGUGGCGAAGGCGGCCCCCUGGACAAAGACUGACGCUCAGGUGCGAAAGCGUGGGGAGCAAACAGGAUUAGAUAUCCGAGUAGUCCCUGUCUUUAUACA
This 301-nucleotide ribosomal RNA is filed under the name uncultured bacterium. RNAcentral describes it as "partial 16S ribosomal RNA". It matches the Rfam family "Bacterial small subunit ribosomal RNA", at positions 509 to 809 of the family's 1533-position model. The record is from RNAcentral.